AGAGUUUGAUCCUGGCUCAGGAUGAACGCUAGCGGCAGGCUUAACACAUGCAAGUCGAGGGGCAGCGCGGGAUAGCAAUAUCCUGGCGGCGACCGGCGGAAGGGUGCGUAACGCGUGAGCGACAUGCCCGUUGCCCGGGGACAACCGGUGGAAACGCCGACUAAUCCCCGAUGGGAUACGAUGCCUCAUGGCAUUGUAUUGAAAGUUACGGCGGCGACGGAUUGGCUCGCGUCCGAUUAGCUUGUUGGCGGGGUAACGGCCCACCAAGGCUGCGAUCGGUAGGGGUUCUGAGAGGAAGGCCCCCCACAAUGGGACUGAGACACGGCCCAUACUCCUACGGGAGGCAGCAGUGAGGAAUAUUGGUCAAUGGGCGGAAGCCUGAACCAGCCAUGCCGCGUGCGGGAAGGAGGCCCUAUGGGCUGUGAACCGCUUUUGCCUGGGGGCAAUAAGGGCGUCGCGCACGUCCGAUGAGAGUACCAGGCGAAUAAGCAUCGGCUAACUCCGUGCCAGCAGCCGCGGUAAUACGGGGGAUGCGAGCGUUAUCCGGAUUCAUUGGGUUUAAAGGGUGCGUAGGCUGUGCGUCAAGUCGGGGGUGAAAUUCCGGUGCUCAACACCGGGGCUGCCCUUGAUACUGUCGCGCUGGAGUGCGGAUGCCGCCGGAGGAAUGAGUGGUGUAGCGGUGAAAUGCUUAGAUAUCACUCAGAACACCGAUUGCGAAGGCAUCUGGCGAAUCCGUAACUGACGCUGAGGCACGAAAGCGUGGGGAUAGAACAGGAUUAGAUACCCUGGUAUUCCACGCCGUAAACGAUGAUGGCUAACCGCCGGCGACACACUGUCGGUGGCCAAGCGAAAGCGAUAAGCCAUCCACCUGGGGAGUACGUCGGCAACGAUGAAACUCAAAGGAAUUGACGGGGGCCCGCACAAGCGGAGGAACAUGUG
RNAcentral lists this ribosomal RNA (939 nucleotides) under Oscillospiraceae bacterium. RNAcentral describes it as "bacterial SSU rRNA". It matches the Rfam family "Bacterial small subunit ribosomal RNA", at positions 8 to 943 of the family's 1533-position model. The record is from RNAcentral. Lineage: Bacteria; Bacillati; Bacillota; Clostridia; Eubacteriales; Oscillospiraceae.